UAACAAGGAUUCCCUUAGUAACGGCGAGUGAACCGGGAAAAGCUCAAAUUUGUAAUCUGGCUGUCUUCGAUAGUCCGAGUUGUAAUCUAUAGACGUGUUUUCCGUGCUGGACCGUAUCUAAGUCCCUUGGAACAGGGUAUCAAAGAGGGUGACAAUCCCGUGCUUGAUACGACCACCAGUGCUCUGUGAUACACGCUCUACGAGUCGAGUUGUUUGGGAAUGCAGCUCAAAAUGGGUGGUAAAUUCCAUCUAAAGCUAAAUAUUGGCGAGAGACCGAUAGCGAACAAGUACCGUGAGGGAAAGAUGAAAAGCACUUUGGAAAGAGAGUUAAACAGUACGUGAAAUUGUUGAAAGGGAAACGAUUGAAGUCAGUCGUGUUCUUUGGAUUCAGCUAGUUCUUCUAGUCUACUUCCUUUGAACGGGUCAACAUCAGUUUUGUCCGGUGGAUAAAGAUAGUAGGAAUGUAGCUCCCUCGGGAGUGUUAUAGACUAUUAUUGCAUGCACUGGGUGAGACUGAGGACUGCAGCUCGCCUUUUGGCCGACCUUCGGGUACGUUCGAGCUUAGGA
This 567-nucleotide ribosomal RNA is filed under the name Cutaneotrichosporon moniliiforme. RNAcentral's name for it is "eukaryotic LSU rRNA". It matches the Rfam family "Eukaryotic large subunit ribosomal RNA", at positions 66 to 623 of the family's 3401-position model. The record is from RNAcentral. Lineage: Eukaryota; Fungi; Basidiomycota; Tremellomycetes; Trichosporonales; Trichosporonaceae.